AGCAGCCGCGGUAAUUCCAGCUCCAAUAGCGUAUAUUAAAGUUGUUGCAGUUAAAAAGCUCGUAGUUGAAUUUCGGGGUUAGUAGGUUGGUCAUGCCCCUGGUAUGUACUGGUCUCACUGAUUCCUCCUUCCUUAUGAACCGUAAUGCCAUUAAUUUGGUGUUGCGGGAAAUUUGGACUGUUACUUUGAAAAAAUUUAGAGUGUUUAAAGCAAGCUAACGCUUGAAUACAUUAGCAUGGAAUAAUGAAAUAGGACGUUCGAUCUUAUUUUGUUGGUUUCUAGGAUUGACGUAAUGAUUAAUAGGGAUAGUUGGGGGCAUUAGUAUUCAAUUGUCAGAGGUGAAAUUCUUGGAUUUAUUGAAGGCUAACUACUGCGAAAGCAUUUGCCAAGGAUGUUUUCAUUAAUCAAGAACGAAAGUUAGGGGAUCGAAGACGAUCAGAUACCGUCGUAGUCUUAACCAUAAACUAUGCCGACUAGGGAUCGGAUGAUGUUAAUUUUUUAAUGACUCAUUCGGCGCCUU
RNAcentral lists this ribosomal RNA (520 nucleotides) under uncultured Glomus. Its description in RNAcentral is "SSU rRNA". It matches the Rfam family "Eukaryotic small subunit ribosomal RNA", at positions 569 to 1089 of the family's 1831-position model. Lineage: Eukaryota; Fungi; Glomeromycota; Glomeromycetes; Glomerales; Glomeraceae. The record is from RNAcentral.